AGUGAACGCUGGCGGUAGGCCUAACACAUGCAAGUCGAACGGCAGCACAGUAAGAGCUUGCUCUUACGGGUGGCGAGUGGCGGACGGGUGAGGAAUACAUCGGAAUCUACUUUUUCGUGGGGGAUAACGUAGGGAAACUUACGCUAAUACCGCAUACGACCUACGGGUGAAAGCAGGGGAUCUUCGGACCUUGCGCGAUUGAAUGAGCCGAUGUCGGAUUAGCUAGUUGGCGGGGUAAAGGCCCACCAAGGCGACGAUCCGUAGCUGGUCUGAGAGGAUGAUCAGCCACACUGGAACUGAGAUACGGUCCAGACUCCCACGGGAGGCAGCAGUGGGGAAUAUUGGACAAUGGGCGCAAGCCUGAUCCAGCCAUACCGCGUGGGUGAAGAAGGCCUUCGGGUUGUAAAGCCCUUUUGUUGGGAAAGAAAAGCAGCAGGUUAAUACCCCGCUGUUCUGACGGUACCCAAAGAAUAAGCACCGGCUAACUUCGUG
RNAcentral lists this ribosomal RNA (492 nucleotides) under uncultured bacterium. RNAcentral's name for it is "partial 16S ribosomal RNA". It matches the Rfam family "Bacterial small subunit ribosomal RNA", at positions 29 to 507 of the family's 1533-position model. The record is from RNAcentral.